Anas platyrhynchos (mallard) is the source of this 2868-nucleotide non-coding RNA. The record is from RefSeq and is a predicted model, not a curated record. NCBI's taxonomy places the organism in Eukaryota, Metazoa, Chordata, Aves, Anseriformes, Anatidae.
CCCUGCACCCUAUGCUGGGGCCGGGGGCAGACCCUUUAUUCUCCCUGCUUGUGCUGUGCAGGCAGAGCUGGCACAGGGCUGGCAGCCACCUGUAACAAGUUACCUAACACCCAGCUUUAAGCAGGGAAUUCAGUAAGGCAAUUUGACCUGCUGUAUUAUUCAGCAGCUGGGGAUUUAUCAGGCUCCGGGGGCCUGGAGGUUCCUACUUGUCAUCCCAGCACCUGUCAGGAGGGAGGGCAGCGGAGCCAGGGCCUUUGGCUGGUUCUUGCCGUGGUGGUGCAGUGACCACUUGGAGGGGUGACCAAGUACUAGGCACUCAGCACCCAGAUGCUGGGGAUUGCAUGUGGCCCUGUGGCUGUUUACACCCUUGAGCAGUGCACAUUUACAGCCCUGGGGACUGUGCCAUGCCAGCCCCAUGCUGCCUGCAGGCAGAGCCAGGGCUCCAAGGCAGCAAGGCUGCUGCUGAGUCCAGGCAGCUCUGUGGAACUCCAGUGCUGAGCAGAAGACACGGAUGGGGAGGACUGGAACUAGAUAAACAUUGCAAACCCAGCAGUGUUUGCCACCAGAGGUCACAGUGUUUGUGGGUGAUACAGAAGGCUGCAAUAAACCAUUCUCGAAGGCUGGCUUGGAUUAAACUUCUUCACAUGGGACUGCACCACUCCCCAUGAAUUGCAAUGAGCUCUUCUAAACCUUCCCUUCUGCUGUAGGCACGAGUGCUGCAGGGGAAUAACACCCAAAGCUCCCAACCAGACAGAACAAACAGGAGGUAAGCUUACAACAUGAAAACUGCGAUAUCACACUGAAAGUGCAGCUCUGUUCCCUGAGACUCAGGGGGAGAGGAGGGUGCUGAGCGGAGCCGCAAUGCUCGAUGGAAGGUACUGCAGGUCCAUGUUUUGGGACUGGCCACAGGACAGGGAAGUGCCAGCAGUAGAACAAGGCAUUAUCUGGAGUUGAUGGGGAGAAAAUGCUGAGGAUGGAGCUCUUAGGAUCACCUUUCUUGAUGCUUGCAUGGCCCCUCACUGAGGAUGCAGGGAGGUUUCUUCUCCCCCUCGGGGUUUGCAGCCACGGGCCCUUUCUUAAAGGCAAUUUCUUGUGAUUCUUCUUUUGAUGCUUUGUUUACUGUUCAAGUUGUUUUUCAGCUGGAAAUAGAGAGUAAAGCAGAUUCUUAAUUAUUUUAUUUUUUUUUAAAUACCCCAACAAUGAGAAUUUGUCCAGAGAGCAGAGACCCCUGCUCAACACCUUCAGCAUAAGGAGAAUCUCAUUCAUUGUCUUCGAAUUUAGGUACCAGCACUCCCCAGAGCCUUGCAGCAAAACCUUUAAUAAAACAUCCCUGCUCUGUUGAGAAAGUCGUUUUUCAGGGUGAUUAAAUAUCUAAAAAGUAGAGUGGUUUAGAAACGGAGAUUUACUGUCAUCUCUGAUCUCCUAGCAAUGGAGUGCUGUGAAAAACAUUUUGUUGUCCAAUCUCCUCAUGAUAACGCAGAAUUAAGAGUUUUGGUGAAUGCUUUGUUUGUUUGUUUGUUUGUUUGUUGCAAAAAGCAAUUGCAGUGCAGCUUUCCUACAGAACCCAUUAGCUUCCUUCUGCGAGGAGGGCAGAGGAUCUGGCUGGAAGUCACCACCUGUAUUCUCACCAGGCCUGGAGGGAUGUUCAGCAGGACUCAUCUGCACCUGUGGAGGACAAAUUAACAUCACCUGUUUGUAAGGAGAUGUCCUGUUUGACCUAGGUCAUAGCCGUCACCAGCUGGGGACAGUCACCAUGCUUGGGAGCAUUUCUGCACCAGGGCCACUCCUGCCCUCAUGUCCUUCAUCCUCCUCCUCCUCCUCCUGUCAGACUGCAAGCUUCUGGCACUCCCCUUCCUAUGACACCUGGCAAACGAGGCUGCCCGUCCCUGCCCCUUGCAAUUAGAUCAGGCCACUGCAGCAAGUAAAGCGUUAACAAUAACAGACCUGCCUCAAGAUUACCAUAAUGGAGAUUUCUAUUUCAAAAGAGGUGUCAGCUACCUGCCUUUGUCUUUUUCUGUACAUUAAAUAUUGAAUAUCCAGCCAGUAUAAUGCAAAACUUAAAAGACCUUGAGUUCAAGCCGUUAUGCCCCAGUAAAUCAGAAACUCCCAGCAAACUCCCAAGCUUCUCACCCACUGUCAGGUUUGAAGAACAAGCAGCCAUUGCCCAUGGGUGCUUGCUGGAUGUUUCUCCAGCCCUCACUCACCUUCUGUAUCACCCUGUGUGAUGGGGGAUGCCAGGAAGGUGGAGAUGCUCUCACCAGUUUCCUUGGGCUCCUUUGCCCAGAAAUGAGAAGGUGGUUCUCUGUCCAAAUCAAUAGAAGAGGUUAAUUAAAUUCCUCUGUACAGCAGCAGACAACAACCUCCUCCCCAGUCACUGUGUGUGUGUGCAAUCUUUGCUCACCUUGUCCAGACCUGUCUCUGGUUAAAAGUGCACUGGUUUUUGGGGUUCCACAUGUGGCUGCAUAGUCCUUCCCUGCCCUGUGCUUUGCUGCUGUGUACCAACAGCCAUGGAUAGCAGCAGCUCAAGGAGCUGAGCAAGUCCCCAGGGUUCGUGCUGCCUCCAAGAGGAAACGCCCAGGCUGCCAGCAGCUGCUGUCCCACUUAGAGAAGCUAAUAGCCCCCAGGAAUGCUGCAGACAAGGGAUUCAAAUAAAGAUGCCUCAUAAAAAGCACGGUUUUCAAGUACUGUACUCAGUAAUAAAAACUAAAUUAGCUUAAAACUUGCGUAACAAUGGCUUGCAGAUAGCUUGGCUCUCCUGCUGCCCCAGCACUGGCUACUGGCAGCUCCCUCCUGCCUCUGGUCCCCUAUGGCCACCAAAACUCCCCUAAAAAGCCAUGUGAAGGUACCCCUGGGACUUGUGUCCCACUG